CCUACGGGUGGCAGCAGUGAGGAAUAUUGGUCAAUGGCCGUAAGGCUGAACCAGCCAAGUCGCGUGAAGGAAGACGGAUCUAUGGUUUGUAAACUUCUUUUAUAGGGGAAUAAAGGUAUCCACGUGUGGCUUUUUGCAUGUACCUUAUGAAUAAGCAUCGGCUAACUCCGUGCCAGCAGCCGCGGUAAUACGGAGGAUGCGAGCGUUAUCCGGAUUUACUGGGUGUAAAGGGCGUGCAGCCGGGCUGACAAGUCAGAUGUGAAAUCCCGCGGCUCAACCGCGGAACUGCAUUUGAAACUGUCAGUCUUGAGUACCGGAGAGGUAAGCGGAAUGCGUGGUGUAGCGGUGAAAUGCGUAGAUAUAACGAAGAACACCAAUGGCGAAGGCAGAUGACUGGACGGCAACUGACGGUGAGGCGCGAAAGCGUGGGGAGCAAACAGGAUUAGAUACCCUUGUAGUC
RNAcentral lists this ribosomal RNA (460 nucleotides) under uncultured bacterium. RNAcentral describes it as "partial 16S ribosomal RNA". It matches the Rfam family "Bacterial small subunit ribosomal RNA", at positions 338 to 795 of the family's 1533-position model. The record is from RNAcentral.